UAGGGAAUCUUCCACAAUGGGCGAAAGCCUGAUGGAGCAACGCCGCGUGUGUGAUGAAGGGUUUCGGCUACGUAAAACACUGUUGUAAGAGAAGAAUGACGUUGAGAGUAACUGUUCAAUGUGUGACGGUAUCUUACCAGAAAGGAACGGCUAAAUACGUGCCAG
RNAcentral lists this ribosomal RNA (165 nucleotides) under uncultured bacterium. RNAcentral describes it as "partial 16S rRNA". It matches the Rfam family "Bacterial small subunit ribosomal RNA", at positions 355 to 511 of the family's 1533-position model. The record is from RNAcentral.